CUGUUACAGUUCUCCCAUGUUGCUGCAGUGACCUUAUGCAGAAGGACCCUUGUGUUGCUCUGUGGUCCAUCAAUGGAAACUAUGAUCUCUAGUUCACAAUCUUGUGUGAAGAUUAUCCUUGGAAAAGCUGGAGCAGGAAUAGGUGAGUCACAAGUGAACAGCUCAAGCCCAGGCGUCUCCAUUGAGCUCUGGAACUAUAGAAGAAAGUGCCUCCUAACACCUCCUCCUGAAUACCUAUGACCAAACCAGAACCAUUGUCUCCACGGAUAGCUUGGCUCUUUAUGGAAUCCUCUGCCCAAAAAGUGCCCAUACCAGGCCUCUUGUUUCAAAAACAAUUCAGUAUUUUUUUGCCUUCAAAUCCAACCCAUCUUCGUGUUCUGUGGAUCUACCAUCUUCAACAUCUUUCCAAUCGUUCUACUUCUGUCUACCAUUGUCACCUCCUGCUUGACUUGUGCUAUUGCAGCCUCUUAGCUAGCCUAUACAUAAACCUUCUGGCGCCCUCUCUCUCCCUUCAUUUCUGUAGCCAGAAUGAGAUAUUGCACAGUACAAGUGGGGUUGUAUCAUGUCUUCCACCAUGACUUGCUUGCCUAAGACCCUCCAAUGCCCUCCCUUUCUUUGUCCUUAGGAUGGAUGACUUGGUAAUUUGGAGACCAGCCCCUGUGUGAUGCUGCCUCCUGCUUUCUUCCUUUGUUUGAUCUCACCCCUGACCUUCCCUGACUUGUUUUCCUAUUUUUCCAAUUACCUUAGGACCUUUGCAUCUCAGCUUAACAUUUUCCAAGCCAUCUUGUGUUUUAAAUAGCUUUAUUGAGACAUAAUUCACAUACCAUACAGUUUAUCCAUUUAAGGCACAUGACAUAGUGGUUUUUAGUAUAUUCACACAAGUAUGUGACCAUCACCACUAUCUCACUUCUGAAUAUUUUCAUUGUCCACAAAGUAACUCUAUCCCCAUUGCUGGUACAUCUCUUUUGUACCCACUAGCAGUCACUCUUCAGCUCCUACCCUCACCACCAUUAUCCCAUCUACCUGCCCAACGCACUCAUCAACUUUGUAUCUUUAUAGAUUCUCUUAUUGUGGACAUUUUAUAUAAAUAGAGCCAUAUAAUAAUGUGGCCUAUUAUAUGUGGCAUCUUUCACUUAAUACAAUAUUUUGGAAGUUCAUUCCUGUGGCGGCAUGAAUCAGUAUUUUGUUCAUAUUCAUGGCUGAAUAAUAUUCCAUUACAUGGAUGUACCACAUUUUCCUUGCCCGUUCUUCACGUCAUAGACAUUUGGACCAACCUUCAAAUCCUGACCCAAGCAUCCUUUCCCUAGGCAGCUUCCCUGACCUGCCCAGUGAGGCCAGAGGCUGCCAGAUGGGGUUUCAUUCCUCUCUCUCUCUUUCCCUUUCCUAGCCCCCCUCUCUCCCAUCCCCCCUCCCCCUCUCCCUUUCCUUCCCCCACUUCCCCCACUUUGAAGCAUGACUCUUGGUCUAGUUUAAUGCUGGUCUUUCCCAUCCGACUAUAAAAUAGAGCAUGCAGGGACCAUAUCUGUUCUGAGUUACCAUAGUAUCCCAACACCUAAUACAGAGCCCUGAACACAGUAGGACUCUUUACAUAUUUUUUAAUUAAUUCAUCCUAAUUCAAUUGAUUAAAGCAGGUUGGAUAUAGGAGGCCUUGAUCUGAAUGUCCUUGGCAUAAUGCCCAUCAUGCUGUAUAUUGAGAGGGAACUGCAGAGAUGCCUUUAUUACUACUCUUUACUCAAAUGUAUUUCCAAAUCAAAUUCAGCAUUUUUUAUAUUUAUUUGAAUUAAAAUGAACAAAUGGGAAAGUAACUAUAAGAGGCAAAAUCAGAGAAACAUCCUAAAGUUAAUAUAUCACACACCAGACACAAAUCUGUAAAGGUCUAAGUUGUCAGAUGUGAAGACAAAUGAGAUACCUCUGGCAAGUUCAUCAGUAUUUGGAAAGAAAACAUUUUUUAACUCAUUUCUGCUUUGUCAUUAAAGUGUAGGGAAUAAUUUAUAGUAGAGACAUCUUUGUUUUAAACAAGUGGCUUGCUUUAAUGAAGUAGUUCCCCUUCCUGUAAAGUUUACUGCAGGCUAGGUGCUGUGCUGUGAGCUUUGGGCUUGGGAGAUCAUUUGGGUCUGCUAUCUAUUUGUGAGUCAGGUAUUACCUGUGUAUCAGUCAGCUUUCUGUUGCUGGGACCAAAUAACAGACGCCUGCAGCUGAAAGGAGGAGAAGUUUAUUGUGGCUCACAGUUUCUGAGGUUUGAGUCCAUGGUCAGCUGGCUCCAAAGGCGGAACAUCAUUGCGGGGAAGGUUGUGGCAGAGGAAAGCUGUGGACCUCAUGACAUCUGGGCAGCAGAGUGAGCAAGGAUGAGACAGAGAAGAAGGGGCCAAGAAAUGACUCCAUGACCCACCUUGACACUCCCAUAAUUGUGCUUUACUAAUAUCCUAUCCUCAAGCCAAUGAAGUCCACAGUCAAGAUUUACCGUCACAACCUGUUAACAUUUUGCAGAUGAGUACCUGAGGCUUUGAGAGAAAAGGUAACAUGGCCUUUGUUCCAUAGUUUUUCUAACUCCAGAUCAUAUUAACUACCACUGUUUUAGUUACAGUCUGUUCACUUUGGCAAAUCUCGAGUCUCCUUUUGUUAUGGUUUUCAUCUAGAUGUACCCCAGAGCCUCAUAUGCUCAUAGUUGGGGCUGCUGGGAGGUGAUUGGAUCAUGGGGCUGUGAUACUCUUCAGUGGAUUAGUUUAAAGUUAAAUGUGAUGUUUGGAGGAGGUGGACACUGAGGACAUGGCCUGGAGGGGUCUAUCUCCCUCCCUCCUCCCUUGAUCUCUCUCUCUCUCUCUCUCUCUUCUUUCCACUGCCACUCCAUGAACUGUUUCUCCUCUGUGACUUCCCUCUGCCAUGCUGCCUUGCCUUAGAACCAACCAGCUAUGGUCUGAAACCUCUACAAACUGAGCCAAAAUAAACCUCUCCUCCUUUAAGGUGUAGGUGUCAGGUAUAGUGUCACCGUGAUGAGAAAAGUAACUAAGAUACCUUUUAACUGGAAAGUUUUUAAAAGUAGAUUAAAAGUAGAAAAAUGCUAUUGAGGAUGCCUGAAUUGAAGAAAAAAAAAACCUCCACGUUUUAAUAGGACAGAGGAAAUAAUAGCCUAGGCUCGGGGGCUAGAUGGACCCGUGUUCUAGAUGGGUCUAGAUUUUACUUUUUAUUAAUUGAGCAUGAUACUUAUUUCACUCAUUUUCUAAUUUUAAAAAUAGGUAUAAUUGUAUCAAUGUCAGUAGUGUAUAAUUAGUGAUCAAAUGAAACAAAACAAAGUCCGAAGCUAACACCUGAUGUAGAAUAGGUACAAAAAAUAAAAUAAAAAGCCACCUCCCCUUUAAUUUCUUGUACUUCUUCUGUGUUUACAUGCACAGGAAUGGUUUCAAUAUAAAGUUUUGGCUACCCCUCCCAAUUGCCACUCUUUCAGGUUAAUACAAGAAAAUAAGUCCUGAAAAGUUAAAAUGUUCAUUAAAAAUAGAAACUCAUACUCUUACCUUAACUAUGCUUCUCUUCAUUUCAGCGAACAUCAAGUCAUCCAAUACUGUCAGAGCACAGAAAUGGAUAUUAAUGAACAGUAGUGGACCCUUGCCCACAUAGGACUCCUCUUGCAAUAGAAGAGACAAAUGGGCUUUUACUCUUCCAUCAAAUAUAGCUCACUUAUUAGAAUAAAUGCCAUUGAAGUUGCACGGAGAAAUUCAACAACCUCUUUUGCAGGGCAGAGGUUUCUGAGCUCCCUUCUAAUGCAGCCAAAACUCCUGGACCUCUGGGAACCAAUAAAAAAAACCUCACUUCCCACUACAUUGUAAUUUCCAGGGAGAGAAAAUUCAGCCCAUUCUGUGGGGUCAGAUGUCCUGUUAGGUGUUGAAGGCAUUGUUCUGAUGUGUCACCUACAACUUCUCCAAGAACAAAAGGACAUCCACCAUGGGCGCUUCCUGUGUCUAGAUAUCAAGAGCUUAGGAUGAGAAUAGACUACAGAUACCUUGGAUCAGUGCCCCCUGGAAUAGUGUAAUUCUAUUGAUAAGCAUUUCUCAUUACUUUGUGGUGAAACAGAACUUGGAGGCCAGCAAGUGGCUAAUUUCAUUGUUUAUGAGAGGCAAGCAUACUAAACAUGACACAAACCAACCGAAAUAGUGGGUAGAAUAGUGUCAAAUAUAGGGGGACAAGUAGAAAGAGAGGUGAAUAUACUAGAUUUCCUUAGAAGUCUCUUUGUUCUUGAAUAUCCAAAUAAAAGUUUGAACACAUUUUUGUGAUUCCUUUGUAUAGAAAGCUAGCAGAAUGGCUACCGUUGUAAUUCUGCUGCUUGCAGCAAUUCAGCAGCAGCCAACAUCCUGAAAUAGCAGAUACACAAUGCAGCAUAUGCUUUGGUGAAUCUAAUAAUCUCAUGAACUCCUUCACUGCUGGGUUAGUAAUCCACAUAGCUUGAAUGGUGAACUUUAUAAAAUCCGGAGCCUUUACGAAUCAGAAGGGAAAAAACAAAACUGGACAGUUUUCACAAUGAUGGAUGACUUGCUGGCGAGUAAAAUUAAAUGGUUGAUAAUAAUUGUGGUAGCUCACAAAGACUGAUGUUAUUUACAAAAGCUCCAUUUUGCAUGUAAUCAGAUGUCUAUUCCCAUGAGCUGGGUCAUAAUUCAUAUUCCACUUUAAUGUUCAUGGAAAAUGUGCUUCUCUCGGUGUAUGUAUUAUUUUUAGGAUGUUAUGUUUCCUUGGUGCAUACACAAUGAGCCUGAAAUCCUUUAGGAAUGUGUUUAAUUUGAAAGUUUUAUCCUCUGGCUCUAGUUAAUUCAAAUACACAGCUAGAACAUUACUGUAGGCCCCAAAAGAAUGUGGGCCUGGCGAAUCGUGUGCACAAAGGAUACCCCACCCAUGCCACUGAUGCUUGCUUGCCAAAAGGUAACAAGGAGGACUUUCUCUUUCCAAACGUUUUCCUCAUUUAAUUUUCUACACUCUGUCUUGACUUUAAUAAACUUGAUUCACACUAGACCAGAUUCUUCUGCUUUUAAAUGAAGAACUAUUUCUGGUGGCUCUUUUGAAUUGAAAUGCUUCACCUAGGGACCUUUUAUACACCCUUGUCUUUACCUUAUAACUCCAGGAUGUCCUGUGUUCCUCGCAUGUUGUUCUCUACUUUUGGUCACAAAGGCCAUGUGAGAUGCACUUUCCUCUAUAGAAGUAGGGAAAGGUCUGACAGUGCAUGGUAUGGACUCAAGAUCAGUAGCUAUCGGAGAGGAGCAGGGUCUGUCCGAGGCCCCGGAGGAAGGGGCUCCUGAAGGGUGUCAGUGAAGUACCAACCGACGGGGCCUGGGAACUGGGCCGAGCGGCCUGUCAAGGAACCAGUGCCUCUGGCUGCUGACAGGCCUUCCGGGAGGACAUUUUCAGAGGCCUUGUGAUAAUGAGCCUUACACAUUCACAGAGAUGUAUUUUAUGAUUUGAGAAGUCUGGGGAGGAAUUAAGUCUUGUCCUCGUAUAUACGGUUGUGCCAGGAGAAUGACUAGAAUAUUCCAGAACACCCUGGAAGCUGACAUAGGUUUGUUGUUUUAUUCGUGACAGGACUUUGGAAUCAGAGAUAUGAAUCUAUAUCCUGGAUGCUUGAUUCAUUAGAUUUAUAGCCUGGGCCUGGACUGAGUCUUGUGGAGAUCUUAAAAUACAAAAAAGAUGGAAUGCCUUUGACUCAUCCCCAGCCAUAUAAUACAUAUACAAACAAAACAGCUAAACAAACAAAUUUCUGCUUUUCCCCCAGAUGAAUACUACUGUAUGAUUUUUUAAAAUACCAACUUAUUUCCCCCUGCUCUGCUGUAUGCUUGGCAUAGGGUUUGUGUGGAAACUACCCCAUGGGGGUACCAUUUCUGUUUCCUGGGGGUUGUGUUAAGGAACCAUACUAAGGAACCAUAAGUAUGCCAUGAACCUCAUACAGUCCCAGGCAAGUCACCAGCUCCCAACAUUGGUGGACUUUUUGGUGUGACUCGUUACUCUAGAGACUUCUUGGAGGUGGGGCCAUAAUAUAUAUGUCUCACACCCAGGUGAUUCUGAACUACCAGUGGUACAUGCGGCAUAGUACUAUCCCAUCAGGUGCUUAUAAGCCACCCAGUGAGACAGUCAUGCAUAUGCCAACUAUGGUUCAAGCCAGCGGGAAGGUGGUCAUAAUUUGCUAGUGCAUUGUAAUGCACUUGUAGUGCAUUCUGAAUUGAAGUUGCUAAAAAUAAAUGAGAGAGUAUCAUG
Long non-coding RNA from Heterocephalus glaber (naked mole-rat), 6228 nucleotides. RefSeq lists it as uncharacterized. NCBI's taxonomy places the organism in Eukaryota, Metazoa, Chordata, Mammalia, Rodentia, Bathyergidae. The record is from RefSeq and is a predicted model, not a curated record.